GUCCACGCCGUAAACGAUGGGUACUAGGCGUCGGGGGAGCGACCCCUUCGGUGCCGUCGUUAACACAGUAAGUACCCCGCCUGGGGAGUACGGCCGCAAGGCUGAAACUCAAAGGAAUUGACGGGGGCCCGCACAAGCGGUGGAGCAUGUGGUUUAAUUCGAAGCAACGCGAAGAACCUUACCUGGGUUAAAUCCACUCAAACCUGGCAGAGAUGCCGGGGUGCCUUUCGGGGAAUGAGUGAGAAGGUGCUGCAUGGCUGUCGU
RNAcentral lists this ribosomal RNA (264 nucleotides) under uncultured bacterium. Its description in RNAcentral is "partial 16S ribosomal RNA". It matches the Rfam family "Bacterial small subunit ribosomal RNA", at positions 793 to 1055 of the family's 1533-position model. The record is from RNAcentral.